CCUGGCUCAGAACGAACGCUGGCGGCAGGCUUAACACAUGCAAGUCGAGCGAGGUCUUCGGACCUAGCGGCGGACGGGUUAGUAACGCGUGGGAACGUGCCCUUCUYUAAGGAAUAGCCACUGGAAACGGUGAGUAAUACCUUAUACGCCCUUCGGGGGAAAGAUUUAUCGGAGAAGGAUCGGCCCGCGUUAGAUUAGAUAGUUGGUGGGGUAAUGGCCUACCAAGUCUACGAUCUAUAGCUGGUUUUAGAGGAUGAUCAGCAACACUGGGACUGAGACACGGCCCAGACUCCUACGGGAGGCAGCAGUGGGGAAUCUUAGACAAUGGGCGCAAGCCUGAUCUAGCCAUGCCGCGUGAGUGAUGAAGGUCUUAGGAUCGUAAAGCUCUUUCGCCAGGGAUGAUAA
This 405-nucleotide ribosomal RNA is filed under the name alpha proteobacterium R-39082. RNAcentral describes it as "bacterial SSU rRNA". It matches the Rfam family "Bacterial small subunit ribosomal RNA", at positions 18 to 451 of the family's 1533-position model. Lineage: Bacteria; Pseudomonadati; Pseudomonadota; Alphaproteobacteria. The record is from RNAcentral.